RNAcentral lists this ribosomal RNA (492 nucleotides) under uncultured bacterium. RNAcentral's name for it is "bacterial SSU rRNA". It matches the Rfam family "Bacterial small subunit ribosomal RNA", at positions 15 to 507 of the family's 1533-position model. The record is from RNAcentral.
GAUCAUGGCUCAGAUUGAACGCUGGCGGAAUUGCUUUACACAUGCAAGUCGAACGGUAGAGGGGCAACCCCUUGAGAGUGGCGAACGGGUGAGUAAUGCAUCGGAACGUGCCCAGUCGUGGGGAUAACGCAGCGAAAGCUGUGCUAAUACCGCAUACGAUCUAUGGAUGAAAGCGGGGGACCGUAAGGCCUCGCGCGAUCGGAGCGGCCGAUGUCAGAUUAGGUAGUUGGUGGGGUAAAGGCUCACCAAGCCAACGAUCUGUAGCUGGUCUGAGAGGACGACCAGCCACACUGGAACUGAGACACGGUCCAGACUCCUACGGGAGGCAGCAGUGGGGAAUUUUGGACAAUGGACGCAAGUCUGAUCCAGCCAUUCCGCGUGCAGGAUGAAGGCCCUCGGGUUGUAAACUGCUUUUGUACGGAACGAAAAGGUUUCUAUUAAUACUAGGAGCUCAUGACGGUACCGUAAGAAUAAGCACCGGCUAACUACGUG